Molecule: non-coding RNA, 86 nt
Organism: Tilletiopsis washingtonensis
Lineage: Eukaryota; Fungi; Basidiomycota; Exobasidiomycetes; Entylomatales
Source: the annotation of a RefSeq genome assembly
GGGCCCGUAGCGCAGUGGCUAGCGCGUCAGUUUUCGGUUUUAUCAGUCGACGCUGAAGAUCAUCGGUUCGAUCCCGGUCGGGCUCU